CUCAACAUUACUUUUUGGUAACUAAAAAUCAAUGCAUAUAUCCUCAUACAUGGCUGUCAUAAGUUUACAGCUUAGUCUUUCAAUUUUCUUAUUGAGUGUUUUAGUUUUUUCUGUACUUGCUUUCCUUUGUGCUUAAAGCAAGCAGUUACUUAUGUCACCAUUUUUUACAUUAAAUCAUACUACAUACUGUUGGGACAGUUUUCAUGUGACUGUAUCAGGCGGUUCUAUAUUUUCUUUGACCC
Non-coding RNA from Pelobates cultripes (western spadefoot toad), 242 nucleotides. Lineage: Eukaryota; Metazoa; Chordata; Amphibia; Anura; Pelobatidae. The record is from the annotation of a GenBank genome assembly.